UCAAACUUGGUCAUUUAGAGGAAGUAAAAGUCGUAACAAGGUUUCCGUAGGUGAACCUGCGGAAGGAUCAUUACUGAACUGUCAACACGAGUUGUUGCUGGUCUUCAAACGGAGACACGUGCACACUCUGUUCACACAUCCACUCACACCUGUGCACCCUCUGUAGUUCUGUGGCUUGUGGGGCUCUGUUCCCUUGCUGCAGUCCUGCGCCUUUACACACACUCUGUAAUAAAGUCUUAUGGAAUGUAAAUCGCGUCUAACGCAAUACAAUACAACUUUCAGCAACGGAUCUCUUGGCUCUCGCAUCGAUGAAGAACGCAGC
This 322-nucleotide unclassified non-coding RNA is filed under the name uncultured fungus. Its description in RNAcentral is "partial contains small subunit ribosomal RNA, internal transcribed spacer 1, and 5.8S ribosomal RNA". The stretch from base 1 to 73 matches the Rfam family "Eukaryotic small subunit ribosomal RNA", at positions 1759 to 1831 of the family's 1831-position model. Lineage: Eukaryota; Fungi. The record is from RNAcentral.